UACACUUUAGUAUAUAAUGUACAGAGAUUUUUGGAUUCUCGGGGGGUAGAUUAAUUCUAUCAAGUGUAUAU
This 71-nucleotide transfer RNA is filed under the name Chlamisus sp. N29. Its description in RNAcentral is "tRNA-Gln". The record is from RNAcentral. Lineage: Eukaryota; Metazoa; Arthropoda; Insecta; Coleoptera; Chrysomelidae.